Non-coding RNA from Chiloscyllium plagiosum (whitespotted bambooshark), 1511 nucleotides. Lineage: Eukaryota; Metazoa; Chordata; Chondrichthyes; Orectolobiformes; Hemiscylliidae. The record is from RefSeq and is a predicted model, not a curated record.
UGAACUUGAACCCAGAGAUUAAGGAAAGAGAGCAGUAUCACUGAAGCACAGAUGCACUGGUGUUUACAUGUUUAUGUUCUUUCAUGCAGGUCAGGUUGAACCCAAGGCCAGAAGGCAUCAGAAGACUGGGAGACAGUCAUCUAGCUCUGAGGAGUCUGUGGCUUCACAUUAUUCCUCCACACCCUCUAGCAGCACAGGUACUGUCAUGUCAGUGGAAACGAUCUUCUAAGUACAUUCACGAUCACAACCUGGUGAGACCACAUCACCAACAUACACAGAGAGUUGACAAUGACUGUGACAGCCAAGGCCACUGUCAGUCAGAAACUGCCUUGAAGCCAGGCCAGUGCUGAGCCCCAGGUGGAUAUUGGGCCUCUGGAGUCAACAGUGAGAAGGAUACUGACAAAGAAACAAGAAAUAUGAGCAGGGAUAAGGCCAGCAAGCCUGCUCCAUCACUUUAUAUGAUCGUGGAUGACCUUGAGUUUCAAUCUUCCUGCCUGCUCCCCAAAUCCUCUGAGUCCCUGAACAUCAGAUCUUCUGCAGUCCAGAGAAAUUGAUAGAAUGAAUAGCACACUGACCACAAAGUGAAAACAUGACCAUAACUGUUAAAGCUGUUUACUCAAACAGAUCAAAGACAACAAGUGGUAUUUCCGAAACACUAUUGCUGCUCACCUCAACUUGGACUUGAGAUUUGGAAUCACAAUUUCUUAAUGUUUGCAUGUUACAAAAUGUAAACUACAAUUAGCACUAAAGAUGGUUAUAACAAACAGUGGCGCUAUUAUUUAAGGAAUAAACCAGUCAACGAUAGGUCAGCGAAUCUAACAUUAGUGGAAGGAAAGCUAUUGGAAAAAAGUCUGAGGGACAAAAUUAAUCUCCACUUGAAGAGACAAGGAUCAAUCAAGGAAAGUCAGUAAGGCUUUGUUGAGGGAGAUCACAUCUAAAAGAUUUGAUUGAAUAUUCCAAGGACCUGACUAGAUCUGUUGAUGAGGCUAGUAUAAUGGAUAUCAUCAUUGACCUCACAUGGAAACUGGUCAAGAAGAACAUUCUACAACAAUAUUAUAUUCAUUUUCCAAAGAUAUGGACAUCACUGGCUAGGCCAGCAUUUAUUACUCAUCCCUACUUCCCCAUUUGAGAGUUAACUACAUUCCUGUGGGCCGAGAGUCACAUGUCAGCCAGACCAAAUGAAAUGACUGAAUAAAUCACUGGCAUUGUUUAUAACACUACUUAUCUAAAUGGAAAUGGACCACAGCAGCAGUCUGCAGGAUUGCCCCUGAAAGCAUGUAUUCAUAUCUAGUUUAUCUUGUGUUUGACAUGUUUGUUCCUGAUGCCAAUUAAUAAUAUAAAAUUCUUCCUGUAUCCAAACAAGAAACAAAAUACUGCCAAUCUGUCAAAUCUGCUCAAACGUGAAAAAUUACUCAGGCCAUUAAGCCGAGUAGAUCCAAGGGUAUCCAAUUGUUUUACAUAUGCAAAUGGUAAACAUUAAUCUAAAUGAGUUCUCUGUUUGGUGCGUUUUU